This is a non-coding RNA of Gossypium raimondii (Peruvian cotton), 100 nucleotides long. The record is from Rfam. Lineage: Eukaryota; Viridiplantae; Streptophyta; Magnoliopsida; Malvales; Malvaceae.
UGGAUGAUGAUGAAGCAAUUUUUUUUUAUAUAUAUAAUCCAACUCUUGAUUUGAGAUAUUAAUUAUCAAGUGAUGUUCAAAUCAUUGCUUUUCAAUCUGC